RNAcentral lists this ribosomal RNA (569 nucleotides) under uncultured Gammaproteobacteria bacterium. Its description in RNAcentral is "bacterial SSU rRNA". It matches the Rfam family "Bacterial small subunit ribosomal RNA", at positions 812 to 1381 of the family's 1533-position model. The record is from RNAcentral. Lineage: Bacteria; Pseudomonadati; Pseudomonadota; Gammaproteobacteria.
UCGAUUUGGAGUUUGUUGCCUAGAGUGAUGGGCUCCGAAGCUAACGCGAUAAAUCGACCGCCUGGGGAGUACGGCCGCAAGGUUAAAACUCAAAUGAAUUGACGGGGGCCCGCACAAGCGGUGGAGCAUGUGGUUUAAUUCGAUGCAACGCGAAGAACCUUACCUGGUCUUGACAUCCACAGAAUCUUGCAGAGAUGCGAGGGUGCCUUCGGGAACUGUGAGACAGGUGCUGCAUGGCUGUCGUCAGCUCGUGUUGUGAAAUGUUGGGUUAAGUCCCGCAACGAGCGCAACCCUUAUCCUUUGUUGCCAUUGGUUCGGCCGGGAACUCAAAGGAGACUGCCGUUGAUAAAGCGGAGGAAGGUGGGGACGACGUCAAGUCAUCAUGGCCCUUACGACCAGGGCUACACACGUGCUACAAUGGCGUAUACAAAGGGAGGCGACCUCGCGAGAGCAAGCGGACCUCAUAAAGUACGUCUAAGUCCGGAUUGGAGUCUGCAACUCGACUCCAUGAAGUCGGAAUCGCUAGUAAUCGUGAAUCAGAAUGUCACGGUGGAUACGUUCCCGGGCCU